AGCGCAGGCGGGUUGGCAAGUCCUUGGUGAAAUCCUGAGGCUUAACCUCAGGACUGCCAAUGAUACUGCCGAUCUUGAGUGCAGAAGAGGAAGACGGAAUUCCUGGUGUAGCGGUGAAAUGCGUAGAUAUCAGGAAGAACACCGGUGGCGAAGGCGGUCUUCUGGUCUGUAACUGACGCUCAUGCUCGAAAGCGUGGGGAGCAAACAGGAUUAGAUACCCUGGUAGUCCACGCCCUAAACGAUGGAUACUCGAUGUCGGGUCGCAAGGCCCGGUGUCCAAGCUAACGCGUUAAGUAUCCCACCGUGGGGAUACGAUCGCUAAGGUUGAA
This 329-nucleotide ribosomal RNA is filed under the name uncultured bacterium. RNAcentral describes it as "bacterial SSU rRNA". It matches the Rfam family "Bacterial small subunit ribosomal RNA", at positions 568 to 898 of the family's 1533-position model. The record is from RNAcentral.